UAACGGCCGCCAGUGUGCUGGAAUUCGCCCUUGAGUUUGAUCCUGGCUCAGGAUGAACGCUGGCGGCAGGCUUAAUACAUGCAAGUCGAACGGUAACAGUACUAGCAAUAGUAGCUGACGAGUGGCGCACGGGUGCGUAACGCGUAUGCAACCUACCCAUAAUUGGAACAUAACGUUGAGAAAUUAGCGCUAAUAUUCCAUGUGAAUAUGAAGAGACAUCUUUUUAUAUUUAAAGAUUUAUUGAUUAUGGAUGGGCAUGCGUAUCAUUAGCUAGUUGGUGAGGUAACGGCUCACCAAGGCGACGAUGAUUAGGGGUUCUGAGAGGAUUUCCCCCCACACUGGAACUGAGACACGGUCCAGACUCCUACGGGAGGCAGCAGUAGGGAAUAUUGGGCAAUGGAAGCAAUUCUGACCCAGCCAUGCCGCGUGAAGGAAUACAGCCCUAUGGGUUUUAAACUUCUUUUAUUAUAGAGUAAACGGAGGUACGUGUACCUCCCUGCAAGUAUA
RNAcentral lists this ribosomal RNA (507 nucleotides) under uncultured Bacteroidota bacterium. Its description in RNAcentral is "uncultured Bacteroidetes bacterium partial 16S ribosomal RNA". It matches the Rfam family "Bacterial small subunit ribosomal RNA", at positions 1 to 479 of the family's 1533-position model. The record is from RNAcentral. Lineage: Bacteria; Pseudomonadati; Bacteroidota.